RNAcentral lists this ribosomal RNA (797 nucleotides) under uncultured Glomus. Its description in RNAcentral is "SSU rRNA". It matches the Rfam family "Eukaryotic small subunit ribosomal RNA", at positions 315 to 1114 of the family's 1831-position model. Lineage: Eukaryota; Fungi; Glomeromycota; Glomeromycetes; Glomerales; Glomeraceae. The record is from RNAcentral.
UCAACUUUCGAUGGUAGGAUAGAGGCCUACCAUGGUGGUAACGGGUAACGGGGUGUUAGGGCACGACACCGGAGAGGGAGCCUGAGAAACGGCUACCACAUCCAAGGAUGGCAGCAGGCGCGCAAAUUACCCAAUCCCGACACGGGGAGGUAGUGACAAUAAAUAACAAUACGGGGUUCUUUCGGAUCUCGUAAUUGGAAUGAGUACAAUUUAAAUCUCUUAACGAGGAACAAUUGGAGGGCAAGUCUGGUGCCAGCAGCCGCGGUAAUUCCAGCUCCAAUAGCGUAUAUUAAAGUUGUUGCAGUCAAAAAGCUCGUAGUUGAAUUUCGGGAUCAAUAUGUUGGUCGUGCCUUGGUACGUACUGGCAUUAUUGGUUUCUACCUUCUGAAGAACCUCGAUGUCAUUAAUUUGGUGUCUUGGGAAAUCAGGACUGUUACUUUGAAAAAAUUAGAGUGUUUAAAGCAAGCUCGCGCUUGAAUACAUUAGCAUGGAAUAAUGAAAUAGGACGUUUGAUUCUAUUUUGUUGGUUUCUAGGAUCGACGUAAUGAUUAAUAGGGAUAGUUGGGGGCAUUAGUAUUCAAUUGUCAGAGGUGAAAUUCUUGGAUUUAUUGAAGACUAACUACUGCGAAAGCAUUUGCCAAGGAUGUUUUCAUUAAUCAAGAACGAAAGUUAGGGGAUCGAAGACGAUCAGAUACCGUCGUAGUCUUAACCAUAAACUAUGCCGACUAGGGAUCGGAUGAUGUUAAUUUUUUAAUGACUCAUUCGGCGCCUUACGGGAAACCAAAGUGUUUGGGUUC